UUGACCUCAAAUCAGGUAGGACUACCCGCUGAACUUAAGCAUAUCAAUAAGCGGAGGAAAAGAAACUAACAAGGAUUCCCCUAGUAACUGCGAGUGAAGCGGGAAAAGCUCAAAUUUGAAAUCUGGCAGUUGUUGACUGUCCGAGUUGUAAUCUAGAGAAGUGUUACCUGUGCUGGACCGUGUGCAAGUCUCCUGGAAUGGAGCGUCAUAGAGGGUGAGAAUCCCGUCUUUAACACGGACUACCAUGUACAUUAUGGUGCGCUCUCAAAGAGUCGAGUUGUUUGGGAAUGCAGCUCAAAAUGGGUGGUAAAUGCCAUCUAAAGCUAAAUAUUGGCGAGAGACCGAUAGCGAACAAGUACCGUGAGGGAAAGAUGAAAAGAACUUUGGAAAGAGAGUUAAACAGUACGUGAAAUUGCUGAAAGGGAAACGCUUGAAGUCAGUCGCGUUGGCUAGAAAUCAGCCUUGCUUUUGCUUGGUGUACUUUCUGGUUGAUGGGUCAGCAUCAAUUUUGAUCACUGGAUAAAGUCUUUGGGAAUGUGGCAUCUUUGGAUGUGUUAUAGCCCAUUGUCGCAUACAGUGGUUGGGAUUGAGGAACUCAGCACGCCGCAAGGCCAGGUUUCGACCAUGUUCGUGCUUAGGAUGCUGGCAUAAUGGCUUUAAUCGACCCGU
RNAcentral lists this ribosomal RNA (669 nucleotides) under Inocybe jacobi. RNAcentral describes it as "eukaryotic LSU rRNA". It matches the Rfam family "Eukaryotic large subunit ribosomal RNA", at positions 1 to 652 of the family's 3401-position model. The record is from RNAcentral. Lineage: Eukaryota; Fungi; Basidiomycota; Agaricomycetes; Agaricales; Inocybaceae.